ACCUCCAAACUUGAACAUUUCUGCAGGAAUACCAUCAGAUCCAGAAACUCUGCAGUGCUUCCCGGCACUGAUUCUCAGCGCUGACUUUGUCAAGGAGCAGGACUGCACUAAUGCUGUAAUUACGAUGUUGGCUGAUCCACUACUCUUAUUAAGGCCUUGUCUGUGAUGUUGGAAGUGUGUUCUAAAGUCUCAAACUUUAAGUGAACUUUGAUUUCAUCUCCAGAGAGAACUUAUGGAACCUGCCCUUUCUCUAAAGGAUACAGGGCGGCUGGAAAACCAUCAGAUCCUAAGAUUGUUGAAGAGACUUUUGAAGUUGGUUGAGUGUUCCUGGAAGAACUGAUGUAUACUGAAAUUGGUGACUGAGACUAGGUUACUCUGUCACUCUGUUUUUGACUGGAGCUGGGGGGAAGCUGUCCAGGAAGUUAUCGCCUCCAGCAGGAAGAUCCAAGCCCAGAGUCUGGUCAUGCUAGUGGGGAGCGGAGAGCCUCGAUGGCAGCCUAAUCCAAGACCCUGGGUGGCAGCCCAGCUUGGAGACGAGACCCCACAACAGCCUGACUGGGGAGCCAGUAGUCAGCUUUCUUGUCCAUUUCAAGGCUCCAGUGGACAAGAAUGACAGCCAACAGCAGAUGUCCCUCAGAAGCACCAUGAGAAAUAAAGCAUUCGAAACAAACAGUGCAUACUAUACAUGGGCCAAAUGCUCACUAGUAGAAUACGGAGAAAAUUUAUUGACCUUAAUGAACUCACUGUGGAUUUAUACCAGUAUGAGAGCAGAAUUUGGUCCAUUGUGUAAGUCAAGCUAGUUCCAGUUUACAGAUGACAAAAAGGCACAAUGACAUUUUCCUGACAUGACGAUUUCUUGCCAAGACUUGU
Caretta caretta (loggerhead turtle) is the source of this 870-nucleotide long non-coding RNA. RefSeq lists it as uncharacterized. NCBI's taxonomy places the organism in Eukaryota, Metazoa, Chordata, Testudines, Cheloniidae. The record is from RefSeq and is a predicted model, not a curated record.